Prionailurus viverrinus (fishing cat) is the source of this 5456-nucleotide long non-coding RNA. RefSeq lists it as uncharacterized. Lineage: Eukaryota; Metazoa; Chordata; Mammalia; Carnivora; Felidae. The record is from RefSeq and is a predicted model, not a curated record. The transcript is spliced from 3 exons.
CUGAAGCAGGCUGCAGGCUCUGAGCUGUCAGCACAGAGCCUGAUGUGAGGCUUGAACCUACGAACUGUGAGAUCAUGACUGAGCCAAAGUUGAAUGCUUAACUGAGCCACCCAGGCGCCCCCAAGCAGGGGUUUCUACAGGACAAGACAGUUGUUUCUGGAGAGCUCCAGACUGGAGGAUCCCGUACAAGUUCAGGAUGGUACUCCUUAAACUGCAUUAUGACAGUGUGCUACAAAGAGACCAGGUGGUCCAGAUCAGGGUCAGCACAGGUGUUUCUGUACAGGUUCAGAGCUGUGUUAAUGUAGACCAUAGGAACAGGUGUUCGUGUCUAGAUUCAAUCAAGAAAUUGUUAUCAAUAGGGCUAAAUUAUGCUAGCUCCUGUAACAAACCCAGAAUUUUAGAGGAUUAACAAAUAAAUGUUUAUUUCUUGCUCGUACAAAGUCCAAUGUGAAUAUUUAUUACUGGUCAUUCAGGGACUCAGGUAGCUUCCAUUUUGUGGCUCUGCUCUCCUCUGAGUCUUUGGGGUUCUCACUAUUCAACUGGUAUAUGGGGAAGGAGAGAGAGUGGGGGAUUCCAUGAGAGGUUUUUAUGGGCCAGGCCUGGAAGAGGUGUAUAUCAUUGCCCAUAUGCCAUGGAUCAGAACUCUGUCACAUGUCCACAUCUAACCAUAAAGGAGGUCAGAAAAGUGAAUGAGGUUAGGAAAACAGGUUUGAUGAGCCAAUAGCAGUGCCUGCUACAGGAUUCUAUAAACCCCAAAGAGCUGCAAUGUCCAGUGUAGUAGCCACAGUCAGAAUAGUGGUUCCUGUACUGGGUGAGGGUGGGACUUCCAGGGCAAGGCCAGGGCCAAGGCUGUCAGGGUCACAUCAGGGCUUCCUGUUCGGAGUCAAGAGAGUAUUUCCAGAAAGCAAGGUUAGAGGUUCCUGUGAGUCGAGUUAUGGGUUUCUAUUGAUAGGAAAAGGUUUUCUAUAGAGUCCAGUCAGAGGGUUCCAGUAUAGUUGUGGGCAAGGCUUCCUGUAGAGGCUCAGGGCUGUGAAGCUAACACAUGGUAAGGAUAGGAAGCCCUGUACGGUGUGUGUGUGUGUUGGGGGGGGGGGGGUCCUGUGCCAGGUGAGGCUAUAGGUACCUGUAGAAGAUGAGGUCUGGGCUUGAAGUAGAGGGUCAGGAAAGGAUUUUUUUUUUUUAAGGAAGGGGAUUUCUAUGUAAGUUCAAGACUAAAGUUCAUGUUAAGAGUGGGAACACGGGUUCUUGUGAGAUCAGGAAUUGUGUAGAGUGACAUGGGGGUGGGGGCGCUCAUUGUCAACAAUGGAGGCAAGAGAUCGUAUAUUCAGUCAGUUCCUGGAGAGGUUGAAGAUGGAAUUUCUGCAAAGAGAGCCAGGUAGGGGUUCAGAACCAGAUUUUAUUGGGGCACCUUUUAUUACUAAGCCUAGGUGGCUUAGUCGGUGAAGUGUCCAACUUUGGCUCGGGUCAUGAUCUCAUGGUUUGUGAGUUUGAGCCCGGCAUCGGGCUCUCUGCUGUCAGUACAGAGCCUGCUUUGGAUCCUCUGUCCCCCUCUCUCUGUUCCCCUUUCCUACUCAUCCUCUUUCUCUCUCAAGAAUAAAAAUUAAAAAAAAAACCUUUUCAGAACUAGAUUUUAUUGUGAUUGAAGCGUUUCUAAAAUGUUAUCUGGAGGGCUAGGCUCCAAUACAGUGUGAAGACAGAGGUGUCCUGUGCAAGGUCAAGGCAGGAUUCCUAUAGAGAGGUCGAGGCUAGUGAAGAGGGUCAGGACAGGUGUUUCUAAAGAGAUGGUAAAAGGGCUUCCUUACAGUAUGAGUUCACAGAUUCCUAACUAGGGUUAAGUCAGAGGUUCCUGUGCCAUGGGAGGACGGGGUUUCCUCCUAUUCAAGGUGAGGGCUGAUAUUCCUAUCCAGGGUCAUGAUGGGUUUCCUGUUGCUAAAUAGAGAAAGAGUUCCCUUAGAGUAUCAGACUAGGGCAGCCAUUCUUCUAGGAGGUGAGGACUGGGGCUCCUGAACAAGGUGGGAGCAGGCACAUUUCCAGCACAGGUUCUGAAAGGGGUUUCCGUUCAAGACGAGGACAGGGGCUCCUACAAGGUGACAGGGCUGAGGUUCUAUGGGGUGACCAGGCAGGCAGGAGGCUUUUAUAAGGCCAGGGCAGUUCUGGACAGCCCCUGUAAUGAGCAUAGCCUGCUGUGAUUCCGCAGUGGGCUGGCAUGGCGACUAGCUAAAUAAGUGCUGUUCUAAGGACAACUGCUUACUCCCUACUGUGUUUAGGACAUGUGCCCCCCCCCCCGCCCCCGCUCCUUGCAGCCCUUUUCUCUGGGGCUCUAGGAGAAAGCCAUAAAGAGAAGCAGCCCAAAAGCAAAUUCAGCUGAGUAUAUUGAGGAGUGAGUGAUGAGAGGGAGAGAGAGGCCAGUUAAGUGUGAGCAAGACUCACAUCAGGGGAAGCGGCCCCAUCCAAAAUCCACUCCUUAAACUCAGUGUGGUCAGGGGGAGUUACUCCAGUUCUGAGCCUUACUUUUUCAUUAGUAAAAUGAAAAUGUAAAAUAAGUAUCCUUUCUUUGGAGCAUUUUUUUGCAGGCGUUCAUGAACUAAAGCAACUGAAGCCUCCCAGCCAUUGCCCGAUCCACACAAACACUCAGCAAGUGGUGCUGCUUGCUGUCAGGAGCUGCUGGGGAGUAUGGACACUAAGGCUCAGAGCCUGGCUUUGGCCCCGUGUCACCAGUUGUGUGGCCUCAAACGAGCCACUUAACCUCUCUGGCUUAGGAUGCCACCCAACUCAGUGCAUGUUCCUAUGUAAGGGUUUCCUUUUUGGAAGAACAGAUCCCACUCUGGGCAGAGCCAUUCACCCAGAGCUGCAGGCUGAGCUGGGCCGAGAGAGAUAAGAGAUGAAUGACAGGGAAGGCCCACGGACAACCCCAUGGUCCUGCACUGGCCAUCUGACCUUCUUGCCAGCUACCAUUCCAGCCCCAGCCCUCCCCCUUUCCUGUCCUGCACAUGCCUUUUGUUCUCUGGAAGGGGGUCCAUCAUUUAGACCAACUGAAACCAUACAUGUUGAUACUUCUGUGAAUAAGUAUACACAGAGCUGCUUACAUCGUCAGGCACUCAGAGACACUGUGACAUGGCACAUACCACAUGAUAUAUGCUCACACACACAGAGACUUGCGUAGGAAUACUUACCAGCCCCACAGAGAUACCCUGCCCUGUGGACCUUCAUCAUCACAUUGUUAUGCCACCACACCCCACCACACAGUCUUUGUUCAACAUUCCAAAAGUGUUUAUCAAUCAAGUUCUCUUUUUUUAAGUUUAUUUAUUUAUUUUUGAGAGAGAGAACAAGCUUUGGAGGGGCAGAGAGAGAAGGAGAAAAAGAAUCCCUCACUGUCAGCGCAGAGCCCGAUUCUGCUGGAACUCAUGAACUGUGAGAUCAUGACCCGAGCCAAAAUCAGGAGUCAGACACUUAACUGACUGAGCCACCCAGGCACCUCUCGAUCACGUUCUAUGCCCCCUACGUGUGCCAUCAUACUGUCUCAAAGAUCACAGCGGUGCACAGUCACACCAGCACAACACCACAUGUUUCUUCUGCAUUUGCCAUCAUACAUGCACUUCCACAUCCUCUCAUGCAGUCACCUGUGCCCUGCCUCUCUCUGUCACCUGGUGUCAUGCACACCAUAUUGCAAAGCCUCACCCCCUUGGUCACACACUGCAUCUUAUGCCGUGGUGUGUGACUAUCUCACAACCCAGAAGCUGUCACACAAAGUUUCCUAUACACUAUUUACAACUGCACAUCAUAACGCACCAUCGUGAAGUGUCACAUAUGUUACCUCAGCCUCACAUGGCCAUACAUUGUAGCCCUACACUGUCAUCAAAGACUCCCAGACAGUGCCAUGCACCCUAUCUACCAUUGCCCUUUAUUCAGUCCCACACAGACUCACAUCUCCAGUUUUAGGACUCCAGUGGUUUUAUUUUACAAAAGCUUUGAAGGUCCAGGCUGGGGGAUGUCUUGGGGCCCAGAGGGUUGGGUUGUACAGACUGCUGGCUACAUAGGAGAGGGACACCACCUCUGCCCCAAGCCCAUGAUCUGUGUCCUCAUGAGCUGAGUGGGGCCACCACAGUGGUGGUGGUGGUAGUAGGGACAGGGCCUGUGGGGAAGGAGCCUGUGGGCGAACCCAGCAGUGGUCCCGGGAAAGGCAUGAGGUGGCUGACAGGCCCUGACAGCACCACGGGGCCCAGGCCCUGGUAGAGAUGGGCAGUACUGGGUGGGCCCAGUGUCAAGCCUGGGGCCACCUCCCCACAAUUCCCACUACCGCUGCCCCCGGCCACCACCAUGAAGCCACCAGCUGGUCCUUCAGCUGCUCCAGUACCUCCCAGAGUUGACCCUCGUUUCUUUUUCCCUUUUCCAGAUGCCUUGCGGUUUCGAGUCUGAAUACCAUCCUUCCGCAUGGUCAGUGGUCGGUUCACCUGCCAAAAGGGAGGCCAUGGAUGUUUCCCAACUCCACAUCUUUGCCUCUGUGUCUUGACAAGGGAGGCCAUCUCUACUGCACUUCUUUAAGGAUAGAGAAUUGGUUCAAGGACUAGGGAAGCAUGACCCUGGUGUGGUACAGUGUCGUGGUGGUUGUCUGGCAGUUGGUGCACUGGGUACCUGCCCGUUUGCUGACAAUCUGGGGGAGAGAGAAUAUGAGGAUCAACCCACUGCGGGGUGGAGGACCCAAGAGGUAAGGGUCAGGUUGAAGGCCGGGCUUCCUGUGCAGGGCGAGAACAGAUGUACUUGCAGGGUGAUGACUGUGGGUUCUGAAUGGGGCAAGAGCGGGGCCUCCCGACCAGAAUAGGGGAUUUUGGUAUUGGGGGUGAGACUCCAUCAGUGAUGGCCAACUUUGGCCAUACAUUGGAAUCACUCGGGGAGUUGAAAACCUGAUGCCCAGGCAGCACCCCUGACCAAUGAAAUAGAUACGUCUAGGGGAGUGCCCAGGCCCCUGUGGUUCAGAGCAUCCUAAGGUGAUUCCAGUGUGAAGCCAAGGAAGAAAACACUGCCGUGCAGGGAGAGGACAGGGUUCCUGCAUGUAGCCUAUGAAGGUAGGUUGAGGAUAGGCAUUCCUAUGCAAAGCUGGGUUCCUGUAUGGAUGGGGAAGGGAUGGGGGCUAUGGAUUCUCAUAGAGCAUGAGGACAGGGAUCCCUGCACAGGGUGAGAACAACAGUUCCUAGGUGGAGGCAGACAGGCCUGGGGUCUUACCAGGCGCUUCUUGGGCCGGAUGAGGGGCCUGUUCUGUCCAUUCAUCUUGUGAUAGAGGCCACAGGCAUUGCAUAGGUAGUGGCCCGUCCUGUCCCGCCGCCACAGUGGAGUGGCUGUUGCUCCGCAGUUCACACACUCCCUGGCCUCUGAUGGGGUGGACAAAAGGGAUGGGGGAUCCCAGGCUCAGCCCAACUUUGCUUUGCAUGCCACCCUACCUCAUCCUCCCUCUCCCUUUU